Molecule: ribosomal RNA, 2904 nt
Filed under: Escherichia coli
Lineage: Bacteria; Pseudomonadati; Pseudomonadota; Gammaproteobacteria; Enterobacterales; Enterobacteriaceae
Description: 23S ribosomal RNA
Rfam family: Bacterial large subunit ribosomal RNA
Source: RNAcentral
GGUUAAGCGACUAAGCGUACACGGUGGAUGCCCUGGCAGUCAGAGGCGAUGAAGGACGUGCUAAUCUGCGAUAAGCGUCGGUAAGGUGAUAUGAACCGUUAUAACCGGCGAUUUCCGAAUGGGGAAACCCAGUGUGUUUCGACACACUAUCAUUAACUGAAUCCAUAGGUUAAUGAGGCGAACCGGGGGAACUGAAACAUCUAAGUACCCCGAGGAAAAGAAAUCAACCGAGAUUCCCCCAGUAGCGGCGAGCGAACGGGGAGCAGCCCAGAGCCUGAAUCAGUGUGUGUGUUAGUGGAAGCGUCUGGAAAGGCGCGCGAUACAGGGUGACAGCCCCGUACACAAAAAUGCACAUGCUGUGAGCUCGAUGAGUAGGGCGGGACACGUGGUAUCCUGUCUGAAUAUGGGGGGACCAUCCUCCAAGGCUAAAUACUCCUGACUGACCGAUAGUGAACCAGUACCGUGAGGGAAAGGCGAAAAGAACCCCGGCGAGGGGAGUGAAAAAGAACCUGAAACCGUGUACGUACAAGCAGUGGGAGCACGCUUAGGCGUGUGACUGCGUACCUUUUGUAUAAUGGGUCAGCGACUUAUAUUCUGUAGCAAGGUUAACCGAAUAGGGGAGCCGAAGGGAAACCGAGUCUUAACUGGGCGUUAAGUUGCAGGGUAUAGACCCGAAACCCGGUGAUCUAGCCAUGGGCAGGUUGAAGGUUGGGUAACACUAACUGGAGGACCGAACCGACUAAUGUUGAAAAAUUAGCGGAUGACUUGUGGCUGGGGGUGAAAGGCCAAUCAAACCGGGAGAUAGCUGGUUCUCCCCGAAAGCUAUUUAGGUAGCGCCUCGUGAAUUCAUCUCCGGGGGUAGAGCACUGUUUCGGCAAGGGGGUCAUCCCGACUUACCAACCCGAUGCAAACUGCGAAUACCGGAGAAUGUUAUCACGGGAGACACACGGCGGGUGCUAACGUCCGUCGUGAAGAGGGAAACAACCCAGACCGCCAGCUAAGGUCCCAAAGUCAUGGUUAAGUGGGAAACGAUGUGGGAAGGCCCAGACAGCCAGGAUGUUGGCUUAGAAGCAGCCAUCAUUUAAAGAAAGCGUAAUAGCUCACUGGUCGAGUCGGCCUGCGCGGAAGAUGUAACGGGGCUAAACCAUGCACCGAAGCUGCGGCAGCGACGCUUAUGCGUUGUUGGGUAGGGGAGCGUUCUGUAAGCCUGCGAAGGUGUGCUGUGAGGCAUGCUGGAGGUAUCAGAAGUGCGAAUGCUGACAUAAGUAACGAUAAAGCGGGUGAAAAGCCCGCUCGCCGGAAGACCAAGGGUUCCUGUCCAACGUUAAUCGGGGCAGGGUGAGUCGACCCCUAAGGCGAGGCCGAAAGGCGUAGUCGAUGGGAAACAGGUUAAUAUUCCUGUACUUGGUGUUACUGCGAAGGGGGGACGGAGAAGGCUAUGUUGGCCGGGCGACGGUUGUCCCGGUUUAAGCGUGUAGGCUGGUUUUCCAGGCAAAUCCGGAAAAUCAAGGCUGAGGCGUGAUGACGAGGCACUACGGUGCUGAAGCAACAAAUGCCCUGCUUCCAGGAAAAGCCUCUAAGCAUCAGGUAACAUCAAAUCGUACCCCAAACCGACACAGGUGGUCAGGUAGAGAAUACCAAGGCGCUUGAGAGAACUCGGGUGAAGGAACUAGGCAAAAUGGUGCCGUAACUUCGGGAGAAGGCACGCUGAUAUGUAGGUGAAGUCCCUUGCGGAUGGAGCUGAAAUCAGUCGAAGAUACCAGCUGGCUGCAACUGUUUAUUAAAAACACAGCACUGUGCAAACACGAAAGUGGACGUAUACGGUGUGACGCCUGCCCGGUGCCGGAAGGUUAAUUGAUGGGGUUAGCGCAAGCGAAGCUCUUGAUCGAAGCCCCGGUAAACGGCGGCCGUAACUAUAACGGUCCUAAGGUAGCGAAAUUCCUUGUCGGGUAAGUUCCGACCUGCACGAAUGGCGUAAUGAUGGCCAGGCUGUCUCCACCCGAGACUCAGUGAAAUUGAACUCGCUGUGAAGAUGCAGUGUACCCGCGGCAAGACGGAAAGACCCCGUGAACCUUUACUAUAGCUUGACACUGAACAUUGAGCCUUGAUGUGUAGGAUAGGUGGGAGGCUUGGAAGUGUGGACGCCAGUCUGCAUGGAGCCGACCUUGAAAUACCACCCUUUAAUGUUUGAUGUUCUAACGUUGACCCGUAAUCCGGGUUGCGGACAGUGUCUGGUGGGUAGUUUGACUGGGGCGGUCUCCUCCUAAAGAGUAACGGAGGAGCACGAAGGUUGGCUAAUCCUGGUCGGACAUCAGGAGGUUAGUGCAAUGGCAUAAGCCAGCUUGACUGCGAGCGUGACGGCGCGAGCAGGUGCGAAAGCAGGUCAUAGUGAUCCGGUGGUUCUGAAUGGAAGGGCCAUCGCUCAACGGAUAAAAGGUACUCCGGGGAUAACAGGCUGAUACCGCCCAAGAGUUCAUAUCGACGGCGGUGUUUGGCACCUCGAUGUCGGCUCAUCACAUCCUGGGGCUGAAGUAGGUCCCAAGGGUAUGGCUGUUCGCCAUUUAAAGUGGUACGCGAGCUGGGUUUAGAACGUCGUGAGACAGUUCGGUCCCUAUCUGCCGUGGGCGCUGGAGAACUGAGGGGGGCUGCUCCUAGUACGAGAGGACCGGAGUGGACGCAUCACUGGUGUUCGGGUUGUCAUGCCAAUGGCACUGCCCGGUAGCUAAAUGCGGAAGAGAUAAGUGCUGAAAGCAUCUAAGCACGAAACUUGCCCCGAGAUGAGUUCUCCCUGACCCUUUAAGGGUCCUGAAGGAACGUUGAAGACGACGACGUUGAUAGGCCGGGUGUGUAAGCGCAGCGAUGCGUUGAGCUAACCGGUACUAAUGAACCGUGAGGCUUAACCUU